Molecule: ribosomal RNA, 477 nt
Filed under: uncultured bacterium
Lineage: Bacteria
Description: bacterial SSU rRNA
Rfam family: Bacterial small subunit ribosomal RNA
Source: RNAcentral
GANAACGCUGGCGGGCGUGCUUAACACAUGCAAGUCGAACGGGGCGAAGUGAUAGCUUGCUAUUAUGGAGCCUAGUGGCAAACGGGUGAGUAACGCGUAGGCAACCUGCCCUUCAGAUGGGGACAACACCUCGAAAGGGGUGCUAAUACCGAAUGACGUUUCCUAGUCGCAUGACCUGGAAACCAAAGGCCGGGCAACCGGUCACUGAAGGAUGGACCCGCGUCAGAUUAGCUGGUUGGUGGUGUAACGGACCACCAAGGCAACGAUCUGUAGCCGGACUGAGAGGUUGAACGGCCACAUUGGGACUGAGACACGGCCCAAACUCCUACGGGAGGCAGCAGGUGGGGAAUAUUGCACAAUGGGGGAAACCCUGAUGCAGCGACGCCGCGUGGAGGAAGAAGGUUUUCGGAUUGUAAACUCCUGUCGUUAGGGACGAUAAUGACGGUACCUAACAAGAAAGCACCGGCUAACUACGUG